RNAcentral lists this unclassified non-coding RNA (212 nucleotides) under Hevea brasiliensis (rubber tree). The record is from RNAcentral. Lineage: Eukaryota; Viridiplantae; Streptophyta; Magnoliopsida; Malpighiales; Euphorbiaceae.
ACCUUUGGUGUAUUGUUUUCUUUCAUAAUGACAGGAGUCAACAUUUGUGUGUCACUAUAACCUUCAUUUAAAUCAUGUUAGUAUAGUAUCUUACACAAAUUGUCUCAUUUUCCAGGCUCCUAUCCCCAAGCACAAAAUUGGAAAUCAACCAACUUUAAAACCAUUUUGUCCUGGGAACCAAAACCAUCAGCCACUUACAGCUACAGUGUGGA